AACGCAUCUUGCACUCUCUGGUAUUCCGGAGAGUAUGUCUGUUGGAGUGUCUUGAAUUCUUCAACCCCACCGUUUCUUGCAAACGCGUGGGUGCUUGGAUUCUGAGCGCUGCUGGCUUCGGCCUAGCUCGUUCGUAAUGCAUUAGCAUCCCGAUGACAAGUUUGGAUUGACUUGGCGUAAUAGACUAUUCGCUGAGGAGUAAGUGGCCUUCGGGUUACUGAGCCAACUCGUUUCAGGAAGCUUCUAAUCCCUAAAGUCUACCUUUUAGAUUAGAUCUCCAAUCAGGCAGGAUUACCCGCUGAACUUAA
Molecule: unclassified non-coding RNA, 308 nt
Filed under: uncultured fungus
Lineage: Eukaryota; Fungi
Description: partial contains 5.8S ribosomal RNA, internal transcribed spacer 2, and large subunit ribosomal RNA
Source: RNAcentral